GAUGAACGCUAGCGGCAGGCCUAAUACAUGCAAGUCGGACGGGAUCCAUUGAUAGCUUGCUAUCAAUGGUGAGAGUGGCGCACGGGUGCGUAACGCGUGAGCAACCUGCCUCCAUCAGGGGGAUAGCCUCUCGAAAGAGAGAUUAACACCGCAUAAUAUCAACAGUUCGCAUGUUCAGUUGAUUAAAUAUUUAUAGGAUGGAGAUGGGCUCGCGUGACAUUAGCUAGUUGGUAGGGUAACGGCUUACCAAGGCGACGAUGUCUAGGGGCUCUGAGAGGAGAAUCCCCCACACUGGUACUGAGACACGGACCAGAAUCCUACGGGAGGCAGCAGUAAGGAAUAUUGGGCAAUGGGCGGAAGCCUGAACCAGCCAUGCCGCGUGCAGGAUGACUGCCCUAUGGGUUGUAAACUGCUUUUGUACAGGAAUAAACCUAAAUACGAGUAUUUAGCUGAAUGUACUGGAAGAAUAAGGAUCGGCUAACUCCGUG
This 488-nucleotide ribosomal RNA is filed under the name uncultured bacterium. RNAcentral describes it as "partial 16S ribosomal RNA". It matches the Rfam family "Bacterial small subunit ribosomal RNA", at positions 28 to 507 of the family's 1533-position model. The record is from RNAcentral.